Molecule: long non-coding RNA, 378 nt
Organism: Myxocyprinus asiaticus (Chinese sucker)
Lineage: Eukaryota; Metazoa; Chordata; Actinopteri; Cypriniformes; Catostomidae
Exons: 3
Source: RefSeq, a predicted model, not a curated record
AAACCGAUCCAGACUAAUCACAUUCAAAGUGAAGACACUGGCAAACAUGUUGAUAACUAUAAAAGAGGGAAGAAUCUUGCACAUGACAGAUCCAUAUGGCCAGUGAUGGUCGAGAAGAAUCUCCGCCACAUUGAAAGCGAUGUACACAACAAAGACAUUUCCUGGAACUCCGAGGAGAAACGUCAGGCAGAAGAAAACCAGAGAAGUCUCUCUCAUAGGAUUCCUCUCUUCUGAAGAUACAAGCUCUUCUAGGUAUCCAGUGCUAUCUCUGCCCCCAUUGGCUACUCCUCUCCUGGGGAAGGAGCUCAUGGGACUGGGACUGGGGCUGCUGUCAGCUGAGUGACCUGAACCGGAGCUCUGCAGCGAGGCCUUUGACCU